GUAUCAUGGCUCAGGAUGAACGCUAGCGGCAGGCUUAACACAUGCAAGUCGAGGGGCGAGCGGGGGUGGUAGCAAUACACUGCCGGCGACCGGCGCACGGGUGCGUAACGCGUAUGCAACCUACCCAUAACAGGGGCAUAACACUGAGAAAUUGGUAACUAAUUCCCCAUAACAUUCGAAGAGGCAUCUCUUUGGGUUGAAAACUCCGGUGGUUAAUGGUAUGGGCAUGCGGUUGUAUUAGCUAGUUGG
Molecule: ribosomal RNA, 249 nt
Filed under: uncultured bacterium
Lineage: Bacteria
Description: partial 16S ribosomal RNA
Rfam family: Bacterial small subunit ribosomal RNA
Source: RNAcentral